GUCCCCAUCGUCUAGCCCGGUCCAGGACACCAGAUUUUCAUUCUGGGUACAGGGGUUCAAAUCCCCUUGGGGACG
Molecule: transfer RNA, 75 nt
Organism: Desulfoplanes formicivorans
Lineage: Bacteria; Pseudomonadati; Thermodesulfobacteriota; Desulfovibrionia; Desulfovibrionales; Desulfoplanaceae
Rfam family: tRNA
About the family: Transfer RNA (tRNA) molecules are approximately 80 nucleotides in length.
Source: Rfam